This is a non-coding RNA of Cheilinus undulatus (humphead wrasse), 458 nucleotides long. NCBI's taxonomy places the organism in Eukaryota, Metazoa, Chordata, Actinopteri, Labriformes, Labridae. The record is from the annotation of a RefSeq genome assembly.
GUCAGAGAGUCAGAGAAGCUCCAUCAUGUCACCUUCAACACCAACCAUGUUCUCUGGAGCUCUGCUGCUGCUGGCUGCUGGAUCCUGUGUGAAGGCUCAAACUCUGACACAGCCAGCCUCUGUGACUGUACAGUCAGGUCAGAGUCUGACCAUCACCUGUCAGGUCUCUUAAUCUGUUAGCGAGUACUACACAGCCUGGAUCAGACAGCCUGCAGGGGAAGGACUGGAGUGGAUUGGAAUGAGAUACACUGGAGGCACUCACUACAAAGAUUCACUGAGGAACAAAUUCAUCAUCUCCAGAGAUGACUCCAGCAGUAAACUCUACCUACAGAUGAACAGUCUGCAGACUGAGGACACAGCAGUGUAUUACUGUGCCAGAGACACAGUGAGAGAGAACAACAGAGUUAAACUCAGACUACUUCUUCUUUUUGCCAACUCUUAAAAAAGUCAUUUUGCUA